UACGGAGGGUGCAAGCGUUAAUCGGAUUUACUGGGCGUAAAGCGCACGUAGGUGGUUUGUUAAGUCGGAUGUGAAAUCCCCGGGCUCAACCUGGGAGCGGCAUUCGAUACUGGCAAACUGGAGUACGAGAGAGGGGGGUGGAACUCCAGGUGUAGCGGUGAAAUGCGUAGAGAUGUGGAGGAACACCGAUGGCGAAGGCAGCCCCCUGGGCCAAUACUGACGCUCAUGCACGAAAGCGUGGG
RNAcentral lists this ribosomal RNA (242 nucleotides) under uncultured bacterium. RNAcentral describes it as "partial 16S ribosomal RNA". It matches the Rfam family "Bacterial small subunit ribosomal RNA", at positions 524 to 765 of the family's 1533-position model. The record is from RNAcentral.